RNAcentral lists this ribosomal RNA (684 nucleotides) under Paenibacillus polymyxa. RNAcentral describes it as "bacterial SSU rRNA". It matches the Rfam family "Bacterial small subunit ribosomal RNA", at positions 36 to 697 of the family's 1533-position model. The record is from RNAcentral. Lineage: Bacteria; Bacillati; Bacillota; Bacilli; Caryophanales; Paenibacillaceae.
CUUGGGGGCGGGACUACACAUGCAGUCGAGCGGCGGUUAGGUAGUAACCUUGCUUCUGAUUAACCUAGCGGCGGAAGGUGGGUAACACAACAUGCCACCUGCCCACAAAAUGGGUAUAACUACCGGAAACGGUAGCUAAUACCCGAUACAUCCUUUUCCUGCAUGGGAGAAGGAGGAAAGGCGGAGCAAUCUGUCACUUGUGGAUGGGCCUGCGGCGCAUUAGCUAGUUGGUGGGGUAAAGGCCUACCAAGGCGACGAUGCGUAGCCCACCUGAGAGGGUGAUCGGCCACACUGGGACUGAGACACGGCCCAGACUCCUACGGGAGGCAGCAGUAGGGAAUCUUCCGCAAUGGGCGAAAGCCUGACGGAGCAACGCCGCGUGAGUGAUGAAGGUUUUCGGAUCGUAAAGCUCUGUUGCCAGGGAAGAACGUCUUGUAGAGUAACUGCUACAAGAGUGACGGUACCUGAGAAGAAAGCCCCGGCUAACUACGUGCCAGCAGCCGCGGUAAUACGUAGGGGGCAAGCGUUGUCCGGAAUUAUUGGGCGUAAAGCGCGCGCAGGCGGCUCUAUAAGUCUGGUGUUUAAUCCCGAGGCUCAACUUCGGGUCGCACUGGACACUGGGGAGCUUGAGUGCAGAAGAGGAGAGUGGAAAUUCCACGGUAGCGUAAAAAGGCGCGCAUAAAA